RNAcentral lists this long non-coding RNA (2528 nucleotides) under Homo sapiens (human). Its description in RNAcentral is "HSALNT0314979". Lineage: Eukaryota; Metazoa; Chordata; Mammalia; Primates; Hominidae. The record is from RNAcentral.
GGUAGAUAGCAGGAUGCGGCCUUGUGGGUGGUAGCUGGUAUGUUGGUGGAAACUCCAUGCUUCCAUGGAACCAGCUGUAGAGGAGUGGUGAUGCAAUGAGCAUCCUGGAAGUUUAGUUGUCAUUUGUCACCUUUUGGAUAAUGGAGUAGAUUUCUGAAGCUAUUUCUCCUUGUUUGGUGUUCUGCCUGCAAUUUGGACAAGUGGACUUCAGAUUAUGUCUUCGUAGACUGAAAGGCUUGGAAGCCUCUCACCCUAAACAUCACAGCUGGGAAUAUGCUGGACCACAACUAAAGCCAGCAUGGCACUGACUCUGACCAAAGGUGAGACCCAGUACUCAUCAAGAGAAGCCUGAAGUGCUCUGAAGGCUGCCAACAAAAUGUCAAGUGAGUCCACUGACAAAAAGGAAGAGAAACCUUGGAAAAACAUUAUUGCUUAUGUUCCAUCUGAAUCUGAGCAGCUGACCUGAGGAAGGAGGGAAGCACAGGGAAGUGGAACAUCAGAGAGGAGAAGCCUGGCUCAACUUGGCAGAGAAGGCAUCUUCAGAGAAGGAGUGCCCACACUGACACCUGAAUGAUGACUAGUGCUUAACCAGAUGAACUGGAUGAGAAAGGCAUUUCAGACACAGGGCAUAGCAUGAACAAGGGUCCAGAGAUGAGGGUGCAAGCAGAGUCCAGGGUGCACAGGGAGUUCAGUACAGCUGGAGCUCAGAUGCUAGGGAGAGGAGUAGGGAGAAAAGAGGCUCCAUUACAAAAAUGUAGGCAUGAGAUCAAAGGGAACCUGGAGUACUAUGCUAAGGGGACUCAAUCCUAGGUGAUGGGGAGGCAUUGAAGGAUUUAGGUGAGAUUGGCAUUUAGGAAGCUCACUUGAAGCAGUGUUGAAUGGGUAGGAGUGGGGUAAGACUGGAGCUGGUGCAGCAAUAUGGGUGAGUGUAGCUGUGUGUGAAAAAAGGUCCGAGUUUAAUGGGAAAACUAAGGAGUGUGGGGUGGGAGGAAACUUGAUGAGAGAGGAUUUCCAAGGAUAAUAUUCUAGAUGUGUGGGUUGAUGACAAUGCUGAGAGCAGGGACAGAGGAAGAGAAGCAGGCUUGCUGGGGGGAAAUGAUGAACUUCUUGAGGUUCUUACCAGACACCUAAGUGGAGAUGCCCUUUGGGUGCCACAUGCGCCCACACUGCUGAUAAGGGAUCUGCAUAGUGGGGGGAGAUUUGGAAGUCAAUGAAGCCACAGAUAGGGAUGAGCUUUUCAAAGAAGAGUGUGUGGAGUGAAAGGGUUAGGGACAUAGAACCAAACCCUGAGACCCACUCCACUGAAGGCAAAGAAGAGGAGGAGUAUACAGAGAACACAAGGAAGAAGUGGUCAAAACGUAGAAGGAAGAUUGGUCUCCAGGGGUGGGGGGGGGGGGUCCUGAAUUUGAGCAUGAUUUUUAGUGCACAAUAGAUCCCACAGAGCUUUCAAGAAACACUUGGUGGUUGGUGAAGACCCAAAUAAUGGUGAGUGUGUUUUACAUUUUAGAGUUCCAGGUAAUUUUCCUUCUUGGUAUCAUCUGGUUAUGGUAUAUAAUUUGGAGGAAAAAACUACUUUCAUUCACUUUUUAUUUUUCCUCAGAAAGACUUGAAGAAAUACAAAACCAUAGGACUUUUGGUAUGUGAUGGAGACAUUCCAUACAAUUAGUACAGAACAUAGACAAAUGGAAAAUAUUGUGUUUUGCUUGAAAUUAUCUCUGUGGACUAAAAUGUAAACCUAGAUUUUGCAUAUGCAUGUGUAUUUAUUAAUGACAUUAUUUAACUCUCAUUCUAGAUAGUUUUGUGUUGAACUCUAUUUAGAUGAGUAGAGACAUACUAAUUAUCUCAGUUAAUUAGCCAAAAUAAAUCUACAUAGUUUAACACAUCAAAGAUUUAUUUUCCACUCAUGGUUUAUAUUUACUAUGGGUCAGUGGGAGUUAUGCUCCACAUGAUUACUCAGGGAUUCACUCUGACAUGGGUCCACCGUAUUUUUUUUUUUUUUUUGAGACAGAGUAUUUUUAGUAGAGACGGGGUUUCACCAAGUUGGCCAGGCUGGUCUCAAGCUCCUGACCUCAGGUGAUUCACUCACCUCAGCCUCCCAAAGUUCUGGGAUUACAGGUGUGAGCCAUUGCCAGGCCCACCAUCUUAAAACUGCACCAUCCUCAGCAGGGGAAAAAGAGAGAUGCUGUAUCACAUCCUGUCUCUGCAAUGCUUUGUCUGGGAAGGGGCACGUACCGCUUUGAUCCACAGCACAUUGGCCAGGACUAAGCAUGCAGUCUCAUCUAAUUGCAUGGAGGAGCACAAUUCCUCCAUGGCAGGUGGUACAGUUCUCUGCCACACUCGAUAUUGUAUAAAUCCAGGGUCCCAGAAGAUAGAAGGCAGCAAAAUAUAAGGAAAUUAAUGAUACCUUACAAUUAAUAUUAACAGUAUUACCAAAAUACUUUUCUUAAAAAUUAUGUAAACCCAGUGUGCAUCUAUAUAAUUUUACAAUAUCUAGUUUCAUUAGAAGCAAUUUAUUUUUUAAAACCCAG